This 881-nucleotide unclassified non-coding RNA is filed under the name Hevea brasiliensis (rubber tree). The record is from RNAcentral. Lineage: Eukaryota; Viridiplantae; Streptophyta; Magnoliopsida; Malpighiales; Euphorbiaceae.
GAAACAUGCAACUAACUCUUAGGAUUUCUAUUUUCCUAGCACAAGUUAGUAUAUCGUAACCAUUAGGUCUCAAGGACAUGACUCAUAUGAAGGAAAAAGAAACACUGCCAAGUAACGGAAGUCAUUAACCGCAUCCCAAUUCUAACUAAUGUUAAGCAUACAAGAAUUCAAAUAUUUAUUCCUGAUGUAUUCCACGGGUAGCAACCUCCUACUAGCUUUGGAACCACAACAGUCCAACUUCAUAUGACCCAUUAGCAUUAUCUACACUAGUAUCCUUCUAACUGGGCAUAAGCAUGAUAAAAUCAAACAUUUAAGAAGCUCCAUGCAUCAAAUUACCUCAGUAUCGUCAAUCCUGAACCAAUUGCCUCGUAGGUGUAGAUCCUUCACGUAGGAUAUGUAAUGCCCAGAAAAUGAUGCAUUUAAGGUAUCCAAGUGCACAACAACAGCAUAAAGCAUGUAAAGUGGAGGAAUGUCAUCUGUCCCGGUCAUAAAUGGGAUCAUAUCCAACAUAUCCGGAAAUGUGAUGCACUUAUUUAUCUUCCCAUAACUUCCUUCCUGAAAUCUCUUCAAGACAAUCGUUAAGAUAUUUGGAGCCUCCUGUAUGCUCAACUGUUUUUGUGCACGGACAUAACAAGCACACCUUCCACAUCUAUACAUAUUUUCCCCAUCAAGAUCUUCCGGGCUUGUAAACUGUGUCAAUGCAUCUUCAAGUGACUCAACCCAACCGAAGAUCUCCAAUGAGAGAUCCAUGAUAUUUUCAUAGCACGCCGAUUCAUGGUGGCAUCUCAGACACUUGACCUUAGAUCUAAGUCUUCCUCCGAAAGUGUGUUGUAUAAAGGUUGUUUGCUGCAAUCUUGGAUCAACAGCAUUUUCUCCACCUA